RNAcentral lists this ribosomal RNA (581 nucleotides) under uncultured bacterium. RNAcentral describes it as "partial 16S ribosomal RNA". It matches the Rfam family "Bacterial small subunit ribosomal RNA", at positions 355 to 932 of the family's 1533-position model. The record is from RNAcentral.
UGGGGAAUUUUGGACAAUGGGCGAAAGCCUGAUCCAGCAAUGCCGCGUGUGUGAAGAAGGCCUUCGGGUUGUAAAGCACUUUUGUCCGGAAAGAAAUCCUUGGCUCUAAUACAGUCGGGGGAUGACGGUACCGGAAGAAUAAGCACCGGCUAACUACGUGCCAGCAGCCGCGGUAAUACGUAGGGUGCAAGCGUUAAUCGGAAUUACUGGGCGUAAAGCGUGCGCAGGCGGUUUGCUAAGACCGAUGUGAAAUCCCCGGGCUCAACCUGGGAACUGCAUUGGUGACUGGCAGGCUAGAGUAUGGCAGAGGGGGGUAGAAUUCCACGUGUAGCAGUGAAAUGCGUAGAGAUGUGGAGGAAUACCGAUGGCGAAGGCAGCCCCCUGGGCCAAUACUGACGCUCAUGCACGAAAGCGUGGGGAGCAAACAGGAUUAGAUACCCUGGUAGUCCCACGCCCUAAACGAUGUCAACUAGUUGUUGGGGAUUCAUUUCCUUAGUAACGUAGCUAACGCGUGAAGUUGACCGCCUGGGGAGUACGGUCGCAAGAUUAAAACCUCAAAGGAAUUGACGGGGUCAUAGCUG